Molecule: ribosomal RNA, 248 nt
Filed under: uncultured bacterium
Lineage: Bacteria
Description: partial 16S ribosomal RNA
Rfam family: Bacterial small subunit ribosomal RNA
Source: RNAcentral
AGUAACGCGUAUGCAACUUACCUAUCAGAGGGGGAGUAACCCGGCGAAAGUCGGACUAAUACCGCAUGAAGCAGGGGCCCCGCAUGGGGAUAUUUGCUAAAGAUUCAUCGCUGAUAGAUAGGCAUGCGUUCCAUUAGGCAGUUGGCGGGGUAACGGCCCACCAAACCGACGAUGGAUAGGGGUUCUGAGAGGAAGGUCCCCCACAUUGGAACUGAGACACGGUCCAAACUCCUACGGGAGGCAGCAUG